AGUCUACGUAGAGUAGGUUUGUACUCGUACGGCUACACGGAGAACGCUGCGGCGUGCUUUAACACAUGCAAGUCGAACCGGAGUACCCUCGAAAGAGAUUUCGGUCAAUGGAGAGGACUACUUAGUGGCGGACGGGUGAGUAACGCGUGAGGAACCUGCCUUUCAGAGGGGGACGAACAGUUGGAAACGACUGCUAAUACCGCAUAACGUACGGGUAUCGCAUGGUACUGGUACCAAAGAUUUAUCGCUGAGAGAUGGCCUCGCGUCUGAUUAGCUAGUUGGUAGGGUAACGGCCUACCAAGGCGACGAUCAGUAGCCGGACUGAGAGGUUGGCCGGCCACAUUGGGACUGAGAUACGGCCCAGACCCCUGCGGGAGGCAGCAGUGGGGAAUAUUGGGCAAUGGGCGCAAGCCUGACCCAGCAACGCCGCGUGAAGGAAGAAGGCUUUCGGGUUGUAAACUUCUUUUGACAGGGAAGAGCAGAAGACGGUACCUGUCGAAUAAGCCACGGCUAACUACGUG
Molecule: ribosomal RNA, 521 nt
Filed under: uncultured Oscillibacter sp.
Lineage: Bacteria; Bacillati; Bacillota; Clostridia; Eubacteriales; Oscillospiraceae
Description: bacterial SSU rRNA
Rfam family: Bacterial small subunit ribosomal RNA
Source: RNAcentral